GUGUCAGCAGCCGCGGUAAUACGUAGGGGGCAAGCGUUGUCCGGAAUUAUUGGGCGUAAAGAGCUCGUAGGCGGUGUGUCACGUCGAUCGUGAAAACUUACAGCUUAACUGUGAGCGUGCGGUCGAUACGGGCAUCACUUGAGUUCGGUAGGGGAGACUGGAAUUCCUGGUGUAGCGGUGAAAUGCGCAGAUAUCAGGAGGAACACCGGUGGCGAAGGCGGGUCUCUGGGCCGAUACUGACGCUGAGGAGCGAAAGCGUGGGGAGCAAACAGGAUUAGAAACCCCAGUAGUCC
RNAcentral lists this ribosomal RNA (293 nucleotides) under uncultured bacterium. RNAcentral's name for it is "partial 16S ribosomal RNA". It matches the Rfam family "Bacterial small subunit ribosomal RNA", at positions 505 to 796 of the family's 1533-position model. The record is from RNAcentral.